AAGAGUGGUUCACAGAAACCUUCUUACCCAGUGCAUGUUUAUCCCGGUAGAGGAGGAGGACAAACCUACAGCUGAGGAGGAGGAAUCAGAUUUAGAUCUGAAUGAGACAAGGUUAGAAACAGACCUGCAACAGAAUGCAGAGGCAGUCAGCAUGGAGGAAACUGGACCAUCUCUGCAGCUUGGAGAAAUGAACCAAAACGACAAACAAGCCAGCCAAGAGGAAGGGGAUAAGGCAGGAGAAAAUGCAUCCCAUGGCAUUUCAGAUUCACUGCAGAGCAGUGGGAUUCCAAGAAAAAACCCACCCAGGGCCAGACGUCCUCCCAAAAAGUUGUCGUAUGAAGAAAGGGUCACAAAAACAGAAGAGGAGCAGCAGAAGAUAGAAAGAGGAUGGAAGCUGUGGCAGAGGGAAAAGGCAAAGAGAGCUCAAAGACACACAUAAACACUCAAAGACACACAACCAUACAUAUCAUACAAGAUAAAUCUGAGCAGUACAUUUUAUUGUUGAUGAAAAGCCUGUUUAGGGCUCUUUCAGUUAAUUCUUUUCAUGUUCUGUUUUGUUUGAUGGCAGAGACGCCAUCAAAUAAAGAAGGGGUAGAUGUAAAGCGGUGCAUAAAUGUUCCAAAAGGGGGUGCUGUUUUCUGCUAUUCCUGGCACUACCGCAAUUCUAACAUGUUUGUCCUGCUGGGGACACCGUAGUGCAGGGGAUUUUUUUGUGCGCGAACGCUGUAUUCCUUACAGUGUGUUUACUGCCUGUAAGGUGGACGAAAUAAACGCGCCAAGGUCUCCCCACAACUAAGAGCCCUGUGUCCAGUUCCUCUUCUGCACGGAACACAUCCCACCUUCACCCAAAA
This is a long non-coding RNA of Fundulus heteroclitus (mummichog), 851 nucleotides long. RefSeq lists it as uncharacterized. The transcript is spliced from 2 exons. Lineage: Eukaryota; Metazoa; Chordata; Actinopteri; Cyprinodontiformes; Fundulidae. The record is from RefSeq and is a predicted model, not a curated record.